Molecule: ribosomal RNA, 445 nt
Filed under: uncultured soil bacterium
Lineage: Bacteria
Description: bacterial SSU rRNA
Rfam family: Bacterial small subunit ribosomal RNA
Source: RNAcentral
AGAACGAACGCUGGCGGCAUGCCUAAUACAUGCAAGUCGAACGAACACUUCGGUGUUAGUGGCGCACGGGUGCGUAACGCGUGGGAAUCUGCCCUUGGGUUCGGAAUAACAGUUGGAAACGACUGCUAAUACCGGAUGAUGACGAAAGUCCAAAGAUUUAUCGCCCAGGGAUGAGCCCGCGUAGGAUUAGCUAGUUGGUGAGGUAAAGGCUCACCAAGGCGACGAUCCUUAGCUGGUCUGAGAGGAUGAUCAGCCACACUGGGACUGAGACACGGCCCAAACUCCUACGGGAGGCAGCAGUGGGGAAUCGUUGCGCAAUGGGCGAAAGCCUGACGCAGCCAUGCCGCGUGAAUGAUGAAGUCUUAGGAUUAGUAAAAUUCUUUACGACGGGACGAUAAUGACGGUACCGAGAAGAACGCCCGACUAACUCGUGCCAGCAGCCGAC